RNAcentral lists this unclassified non-coding RNA (381 nucleotides) under uncultured Alphaproteobacteria bacterium. RNAcentral's name for it is "contains 16S-23S intergenic spacer region". The record is from RNAcentral. Lineage: Bacteria; Pseudomonadati; Pseudomonadota; Alphaproteobacteria.
UCCGGCUUGUCACCGGCGGUCUCGCCAGAGUGCCCAGCAUAACCUGAUGGCAACAGACGAUAAGGGUUGCGCUCGUUGCGGGACUUAACCCAACAUCUCACGACACGAGCUGACGACAGCCAUGCAACACCUGUCACUCUCCCAGCCGAACUGAAAACCGGCAUCUCUGCCAGUCCAAGAGAGGAUGUCAAGGGUAGGUAAGGUUCUUCGCGUUGCUUCGAAUUAAACAACAUGCUCCACCGCUUGUGCGGGUCCCCGUCAAUUCCUUUGAGUUUUAACCUUGCGGCCGUACUCCCCAGGCGGUGUGCUUAAUGGUUUCCCUCCGUCGCCGAAACCUUAAGAUCCCGACAACUAGCACACAUCGUUUACGGCGUGGACUAC